GAGGAAUAUUGGUCAAUGGGCGGGAGCCUGAACCAGCCACGUCGCGUGCAGGAAGAAUGUCCUAUGGAUUGUAAACUGCUUUUGUAGGGGAAUAAUUGUAUCCACGUGUGGAUAUUUGCAUGUACCUUACGAAUAAGGAUCGGCUAACUCCGUGCCAGCAGCCGCGGUAAUACGGAGGAUCCGAGCGUUAUCCGGAUUUAUUGGGUUUAAAGGGUGCGUAGGCGGACUUAUAAGUCAGCGGUGAAAUUUUGCAGCUUAACUGCAAACGUGCCGUUGAAACUGUAGGUCUUGAGUGUAGAUAAGGUAGGCGGAAUGUGUUGUGUAGCGGUGAAAUGCAUAGAUAUGACACAGAACCCCGAUUGCGAAGGCAGCUUACCGGGUUACCACUGACGCUGAUGCACGAAAGCGUGGGGAUCAAAC
Molecule: ribosomal RNA, 420 nt
Filed under: uncultured bacterium
Lineage: Bacteria
Description: bacterial SSU rRNA
Rfam family: Bacterial small subunit ribosomal RNA
Source: RNAcentral